GACGAACGCUGGCGGCGUGCUUAACACAUGCAAGUCGAACGGGCCCGCCCCUGUUUUUGGGGGUGGGUUGAGUGGCGAACGGGUGAGUAUCACGUGAGUAACCUGCCCCCUGCUCCUGGAUAACUGCUUGAAAGGGCGGCUAAUACGGGGUGUGCCGGCUGGUCCGCAUGGGCCUGGUCGGGAUAGUUUCAUCUUCGGGUGUUUCGGUGGGGGAUGGGCUCGCGGCCUAUCAGCUUGUUGGUGGGGUGAUGGCCCACCAAGGCGGUGACGGGUAGCCGGCCUGAGAGGGUGGGCGGCCACACUGGGACUGAGACACGGCCCAGACUCCGGCGGGAGGCAGCAGUGGGGGGUAUUGCACAAUGGGCGGAAGCCUGAUGCAGCGACGUCGCGUGAGGGAUGGAGGCCGUCGGGUUGUGAACCUCUUUCUCCGGUGGUGAAGGCCCUGUCCGUUGCGGCGGGGUUGACGGUAGCCGGGUAUGAAGCGCCGGCUAACUACGUG
This 499-nucleotide ribosomal RNA is filed under the name uncultured bacterium. RNAcentral's name for it is "partial 16S ribosomal RNA". It matches the Rfam family "Bacterial small subunit ribosomal RNA", at positions 28 to 507 of the family's 1533-position model. The record is from RNAcentral.